Long non-coding RNA from Cyprinus carpio carpio, 1655 nucleotides. Lineage: Eukaryota; Metazoa; Chordata; Actinopteri; Cypriniformes; Cyprinidae. The record is from Ensembl.
CAGGGCUUUGCAUUACUAAAGCAUCGAUAAACAUUAAACAUCAUCACAUACUGUACACACACUCCUCCUGUAAUGCACUGCAUGCUGACUGCUCAUGGGAAGGACCCGUUUGAGAGCAGCCAUGACCGAAGGCCAGAUGAGACUUCAGCUUCCUCCAUCUGUCCCUCUCACUUCCUGAGUGCUCAAUGCUCUUUGAUGACUUUUUUAUUUCAUUUUUGGAACAAAUAAGUUUUCUCAACAACAUUUGGGCUUUUAGAGGCUUUAAAAUAUGAUAUUACACUUCCAGAAACUUUCAUUUUUAAAUGUGCAUUUAGCCUUGACUGUCAUUUUAGACUGUAUUGAUUAUUCGUUUCGAUGAUUCCUUACAAAAUAAUCUCUCUUUCUGUUAAAAGCCUCAGAAGGCACGUACUGCAUCUAAUGCAUGUUGCACAAAAAGCGCUUCCAGAAAAGCUGAAGUUUGCAGGCUGGUGAAAUAAAAGCACCUGCUAAAUGACCAAAAAACACGGUAGUACCGUAGCACUGUUUUUUGGGUUGUCAGCGUGACGUUGCAGAUAAACAGUGAUAUCUGAGGCGCAGGGCACAUGCAGGCCGCUGGAAAUGUUGCUUUUAAGCGACUCGCUUUCUCCGGGUUUCCCAUUUCUGCUUUUAUGGAUGGAGUGCCAAUCAUAGUCUCUUGAUAUCUCUCACGCUAACAUUAUUGAGUACAUUACAGCACAUGCCUGAGCCAUGAAAGCAUCAAUAACAUCCUCAUCAGCACGAGACAGACCAGCCCUCAGAAGAGAAGAGUGCAGACAGCAACAAACUCCAAGCUGCAGAGUGAAAACAAGUGAGAAAAACAUAUGAGUUUUUAUUUUUUGCAGAAAAAUAAACUAACAAAAACUAUUUCUAAGAGAGCGAGAGAGAGAGAGAGUGUGUGUGUGUGUGUGUGUGUGUGAGAGAGAGAGAGAGUGUGUGUGUGUGUGUGUGUGUGUUUGUGUGUGUGUGUGUGAGAGAGAGAGAGAUAGUGUGUGUGUGUGUGUGUGUGUGUGAGAGAGAGAGAUAGUGUGUGUGUGUGUGUGUGUGUGUUUGUGUGUGUAAGAGAGAGAGAGAGUGUGUGUGUGUGUGUGUGUGUGUGUGAGAGAGAGAGAGAGUGUGUGUGUGUGUGUGUGUGUGUGUGAGAGAGAGAUAGUGUGUGUGUGUGUGUGUGUGAGAGAGAGAGAGAGUGUGUGUGUGUGUGUGUGUGAGAGAGAGAGAGAGAGAGAGAGAGAGUGUGUGUGUUAAUUACAUGAACAGGUGUGUGUGAGUCACAUAUCAUGUUUCAUGUUUGUUUUUACAAUCACAUUCAGUCACAUGAGAGCACAGAGAAAUAUGACGUGAGCCAAAAUACAGAUAUUAAACAUUUCACACUCAAUUUGUACUUCAUUAACUUGAUUGUUUUUAAAAGUUGUAAAUAAAAGUUUAUUGCAGCAUGUUUUACAAGAAAAUGCAAAUUCAGUCUAUUUAUGAAAUAUAUUUAUGAAAUUUAAUAACAAUUUAGAAAGUAAAUCCAACACCAAUUUUUGUGCAUUUCAAUGUUGUUGUUUUUAACCAUUAAGACACUAUUAUAUUUUUUUUUGAAGUAGUUUUUCAUUAUUAUUAUUUUUUUUUAAUUUUAAAGUUUUAGUAAUCUUGUUGUG